This 377-nucleotide unclassified non-coding RNA is filed under the name soil metagenome. Its description in RNAcentral is "partial contains 5.8S ribosomal RNA, internal transcribed spacer 2, and large subunit ribosomal RNA". The stretch from base 1 to 120 matches the Rfam family "5.8S ribosomal RNA", at positions 35 to 154 of the family's 154-position model. The record is from RNAcentral.
GAUGAAGAACGUAGUGAAAUGCGAUAAGUAAUGUGAAUUGCAGAAUUCAGUGAAUCAUCGAAUCUUUGAACGCACCUUGCACUCCUUGGUAUUCCGAGGAGUAUGCUUGUUUGAGAGUAAUGUAAUCAUCAAUCCUCCUUUACUUUUGUGAAGUUGGCUUGGAUUUGGGGAUUGCUGGCCUUUCAUUAGGUCCUGGCUUCCCUUGAAUGCAUUAGUUGAAUCAAGUUACAACGUUACGUGUGGUGUGAUAAUAUCUUCACUGCAUAGUUGUAAUGAAGUUUGGCUUCUAACAGUCCUUCACUGGACAAUACUUUGAACAAUGUACCUCAAAUCAAGUAGGACUACCCGCUGAACUUAAGCAUACAAUAAGCGGAGGA